Molecule: ribosomal RNA, 735 nt
Filed under: uncultured archaeon
Lineage: Archaea
Description: bacterial SSU rRNA
Rfam family: Archaeal small subunit ribosomal RNA
Source: RNAcentral
UAGCCAUGCGAGUUAAAUGUUCUUCGUGAACAUAGCAGACUGCUCAGUAACACGUGGAUAACCUGCCCUUAGGACUGGCAUAACCCCGGGAAACUGGGGAUAAUUCCGGAUAGAUCAUAAAUGCUGGAAUGCUUUAUGAUUGAAAGGUUUCGACCGCCUUAGGAUGGAUCUGCGGCCUAUCAGGUUGUAGUGGGUGUAAUGUACCUACUAGCCUACGACGGGUACGGGUUGUGGAAGCAAGAGCCCGGAGAUGGAUUCUGAGACAUGAAUCCAGGCCCUACGGGGCGCAGCAGGCGCGAAAACUUUACAAUGCGGGAAACCGUGAUAAGGGAACACUGAGUGCUAGCAUUUAUGUUAGCUGUCCACAUGUGUAAAUAGCAUGUGAUAGCAAGGGCUGGGCAAGACCGGUGCCAGCCGUCGCGGUAACACCGGCAGCCCGAGUGGUGAUCACUAUUAUUGGGUCUAAAGGGUCCGUAGCCGGUUUAAUCAGUCUUCUGGGAAAUCUAAUCGCCUAACUAUUAGGCUUCCAGGGGAUACUGUUAGACUUGGGACCGGGAGAGGUAAGAGGUACUGCAGGGGUAGGAGUGAAAUCUUGUAAUCCCUGUGAGACCACCAGUGGCGAAGGCGUCUUACCAGAACGGGUCCGACGGUGAGGGACGAAAGCUGGGGGCACGAACCGGAUUAGAUACCCGGGUAGUCCCAGCUGUAAACGAUGCUCGUUAGGUGUCAGGAACG